AACGCUGGCGGCGUGCCUAAUACAUGCAAGUCGAACGGUCUUUCUAUGGAAGCUUGCUUCACUGAGAAGAUAGUGGCGAACGGGUGAGUAACACGUGGGUAACCUGCCCAUAAGAGGGGGAUAACAUCCGGAAACGGGUGCUAAUACCGCAUAGUUUUCUUGAUCGCAUGAUCGGGAAAGGAAAGACGGCCUUUGUGCUGUCGCUUAUGGAUGGACCCGCGGCGUAUUAGUUAGUUGGUGAGGUAACGGCUCACCAAGACGAUGAUACGUAGCCGACCUGAGAGGGUGAUCGGCCACAUUGGGACUGAGACACGGCCCAAACUCCUACGGGAGGCAGCAGUAGGGAAUCUUCCGCAAUGGACGAAAGUCUGACGGAGCAACGCCGCGUGAGUGAAGAAAGGUUUUCGGAUCGUAAAACUCUGUUGUCAGAGAAGAACAAGUUGGAGAGUAACUGCUCCAGCCUUGACGGUAUCUGACCAGAAAGCCACGGCUAACUACGUGCCAGCAGCCGC
RNAcentral lists this ribosomal RNA (512 nucleotides) under uncultured bacterium. Its description in RNAcentral is "bacterial SSU rRNA". It matches the Rfam family "Bacterial small subunit ribosomal RNA", at positions 32 to 518 of the family's 1533-position model. The record is from RNAcentral.